AUACGGAAGGUCCGGGCGUUAUCCGGAUUUAUUGGGUUUAAAGGGAGCGCAGGCGGAGAUGCAAGCGUGACGUCAAAUUUCGGGGCUCAACCCCGUCUCGCGUCGCGAACUGCGUCCCUUGGUUGCGGGAAGGGGAGGCGGAACUCGUGGUGUAGCGGUGAAAUGCAUAGAUAUCACGAAGAACUCCGAUCGCGAAGGCAGCCAUUCGGCCGGUCAACGACGCUCAUGCUCGAAGGUGCGGGUAUCAAACAGGAUUAGAUUCCCUGGUAGUCCGCACAGUAAACGAUGGACACCCGCGGUUUGGCCUGUAUGGCUGAGCCGCCAAGCGAAAGCGUUAAGUGUCCCUCCUGGGGAGUACGCCGGCAACGGUGAAACUCAAAUGAAUUGACGGGG
This 393-nucleotide ribosomal RNA is filed under the name uncultured bacterium. RNAcentral describes it as "partial 16S ribosomal RNA". It matches the Rfam family "Bacterial small subunit ribosomal RNA", at positions 523 to 918 of the family's 1533-position model. The record is from RNAcentral.